GGUGGAGGGAGGGGGAGGGGGCUCCUUUUUCUCAUUUUCAUUUUCCCUUUUCUUGUAACUGUUUUUUUGGUAAUAAACUUGAGCAUAUCAAAAUACCCUCACAAAAAGAGGUCUCGCAUGUUGAGUGACGAUUUAACUGAAUUUGGCCCCCAUUAAUUUCCAUUCCAUUACAUUUCGUUUUUUUCUCUUCUAUUUUUAACCACAUAAUCUUCCAUAAAAUAAUAUUGCACGUUAACCGAAAACCUUUCCUUCUUUUUCAAUCACUCAUUUUUAAAAAAAAAAACACUAUUCUAACCAUUUUCAUUUCCACAAAAUGGGGGCUUGGAUUCUUCCGUCUUAUUGGACUGACACCAAAAAUUGAAGGUUUUGGGUUUUUUUAUUUUUAUUCUUUUAUUUUUUUAUGUACAUAUUUUACCAGUACAUUUCAAAUGAAUGGAGAAUAAGGUUAGGUUUCGAACAGUAUCUCAGAAGAUAGGGAUUGAUGAUAAGAAUUUGAUUUAAAUAAGAUUUCAGUGUUUCUUUCUAAGAUAGAAUUUUAUCAUUUUAAUAGUUGUUAUUUACGAUAAGUUCUAUACUUUAUAAAUAGGAUGUAUGAACAUUCGCUUGUAUUUGAACUAUUAUUAUUGAUGUUUGAUAAUUAAGAUUGAUAUUUAAUUACAGAUUUUCCCCUUCAAAUUGUCUGCUCGUCUCUCUGUUUAUCUUUCUGUGUUAAGUACCCAUCACUUGUGGACCUGGAACAUUUCAUUUACUUGUACUAACUUUUGAGUGAUGUCUCUGCAUUCAUUAAUUUGUACAAUUACACUGUUAUAUAUACCCAUUUUUUUUCUAUUUAAUGCAGAGAGGAUGGUACCAUAAUGUUGUUUACUUGGGAAAGGAGAACAAUAUUCCAAUUCUAACAAUGACGUAAGCAUAUAUGCCUACCAUCUCUAGCAUUAUUAUGAAAGAUUCGAGUAGUAUAGUUUAUUUAUCAUAUUUUAACUGAUAUGAAUUCAGGUGCACUCUUUCGGAUAUUGAAAACUUCAAGUCUGGUAAAUUGCCUGUAAAAUCACCUGCCAAAGCGUAUGCCAAUACCUUGGUUAAAGGACUUGUAGAAGGAAAACAGCUGUCGGAAGCGGAAGCAAUAGCAUACAUAGAGGAAGCAUCUACAAAGCCACUAUAAAUUCUGUUGCUCGCUCUCAUUUAAAAUUCUUCACCGUCUUUUGUGUAACUUAGAGAUGCUCAAGCUGUAGCAUUUCUACUCCAUUGCAACACUCAAGGUGUGAUUUAGGAAAAUCUCCUGUUUGAUGCUUUCAAACUGAUUUACUGUUGCAUAAGUUAUUUUGCUGCUUUGAAGAUAGAUUGCUGUUAAGUGUUGCAUCCAAGAUCUGGUGUUUCUGGUGCAUGUGAUUAUUUACUGGAUAAGUUGCAUCACGAACGUCCAACAUAUGGUUUAUCUAGUGCAUAUGUGAUGAUUUUGGUUUAUUAAUAUCAAUAUAUUUAUACUAC
RNAcentral lists this long non-coding RNA (1485 nucleotides) under Olea europaea subsp. europaea. The record is from RNAcentral. Lineage: Eukaryota; Viridiplantae; Streptophyta; Magnoliopsida; Lamiales; Oleaceae.